Molecule: ribosomal RNA, 380 nt
Filed under: Chaetozone sp. MB2
Lineage: Eukaryota; Metazoa; Annelida; Polychaeta; Terebellida; Cirratulidae
Description: partial 16S ribosomal RNA
Rfam family: Bacterial large subunit ribosomal RNA
Source: RNAcentral
CGUGCUAAGGUAGCAUAAUCGCUUGCCCUUUAAUUGGGGGCUUGUAUGAAUGGACACACGAGAGUUAUACUGUCUCAUUUAAACCACUAAAAAUUAUCCUUCAGGUGAAGAGACCUGAAUAAAAUAGCAAGACAAAAAGACCCUGCAGAGCUUUAUUAUUAAACUAACACAACAUAAUACUAAAAGUAUAUAUAAAGUCAACUAGUUUUCUAAUUUGGUUGGGGCGACAGAGGACCACCCAAAACGUCCUCUAAAUAAAAAGACACAUUUGUCACCAAAAGACUCAUUAGACAACUUGUUUAAGAAGCAUAAGCUACCUCAGGGAUAACAGGCUAAUAUCCCCUUAAGAGUCCAAAUUGACAGGGGAGCUUGGCACCUCG